RNAcentral lists this unclassified non-coding RNA (415 nucleotides) under soil metagenome. RNAcentral describes it as "partial contains 5.8S ribosomal RNA, internal transcribed spacer 2, and large subunit ribosomal RNA". The stretch from base 1 to 119 matches the Rfam family "5.8S ribosomal RNA", at positions 35 to 154 of the family's 154-position model. The record is from RNAcentral.
GAUGAAGAACGUAGCGAAAUGCGAUAAGUAAUGUGAAUUGCAGAAUUCAGUGAAUCAUCGAAUCUUUGAACGCACCUUCACUCCUUGGUAUUCCGAGGAGUACGCCUGUUCGAGUGUUAUGAAGCUCUCAAAACGCAAUUGGCUUAAAACCUGAUUGUUGUUUUGGAUUUGAACUUUGCCGUGUUAUAACGGCUGGUUUUAAAAGUAUUAGCUGGUUCUAGAACGAAUUGGUUCUACUCAACGUGAUAAUUAUCUGAUCGUUGAGGACAUUCCUUUCACGAGGAAUGGCCAUAGUAAAUUCAAUGGACUGCUUCUAAUCUGGCUUUAAUUCUUUAUUGGAUUAACCACUUUUCAAAUCUGACCUCGAAUCAGGUGGGACUACCCGCUGAACUUAAGCAUAUCAAUAAGCGGAGGA